RNAcentral lists this ribosomal RNA (253 nucleotides) under uncultured bacterium. Its description in RNAcentral is "partial 16S ribosomal RNA". It matches the Rfam family "Bacterial small subunit ribosomal RNA", at positions 524 to 776 of the family's 1533-position model. The record is from RNAcentral.
GACGAACCGUGCGAACGUUGUUCGGAAUCACUGGGCUUAAAGGGCGCGUAGGCGGGUCAGCAAGUCUGGGGUGAAAUCUUUCGGCUUAACCGGAAAAGUGCCUUGGAUACUGCUGGUCUCGAGGGAGGUAGGGGUCUGUGGAACUUCUGGUGGAGCGGUGAAAUGCGUUGAUAUCAGAAGGAACGCCGGUGGCGAAAGCGACGGACUGGACCUCUUCUGACGCUGAGGCGCGAAAGCUAGGGGAGCAAACGGG